CCAGACUCCUACGGGAGGCAGCAGUGGGGAAUAUUGCACAAUGGGGGGAACCCUGAUGCAGCGACGCCGCGUGAAGGAAGAAGUAUCUCGGUAUGUAAACUUCUGUCAGCAGGGAAGAAAGAAAUGACGGUACCUGACCAAGAAGCCCCGGCUAACUACGUGCCAGCAGCCGCGGGAAUACGUAGGGGGCAAGCGUUAUCCGGAAUUACUGGGUGUAAAGGGAGCGUAGACGGUGAUGCAAGUCUGGAGUGAAAGGCGGGGGCCCAACCCCCGGACUGCUCUGGAAACUGUGUAACUUGAGUGCAGGAGAGGUAAGCGGAAUUCCUAGUGUAGCGGUGAAAUGCGUAGAUAUUAGGAGGAACACCAGUGGCGAAGGCGGCUUACUGGACUGUAACUGACGUUGAGGCUCGAAAGCGUGGGGAGCAAACAGGAUUAGAUACCCCGGUAU
This 448-nucleotide ribosomal RNA is filed under the name uncultured bacterium. RNAcentral's name for it is "bacterial SSU rRNA". It matches the Rfam family "Bacterial small subunit ribosomal RNA", at positions 331 to 793 of the family's 1533-position model. The record is from RNAcentral.